UACGGAGGGUGCAAGCGUUAUCCGGAAUCACUGGGUUUAAAGGGUGCGUAGGCGGUCAGCUAAGUCAGUUGUGAAAUACCCCGGCUUAACCGGCGGAACUGCGAUUGAUACUGUUUGACUUGAAUCAGGUUGAGGUAGGCGGAAUGUGGCAUGUAGCGGUGAAAUGCUUAGAUAUGCCAUAGAACACCGAUUGCGAAGGCAGCUUGCUGGACCUGUAUUGACGCUGAGGCACGAAAGCGUGGGGAGCAAACAGG
RNAcentral lists this ribosomal RNA (254 nucleotides) under uncultured bacterium. RNAcentral's name for it is "partial 16S ribosomal RNA". It matches the Rfam family "Bacterial small subunit ribosomal RNA", at positions 524 to 776 of the family's 1533-position model. The record is from RNAcentral.